GAUGAACGCUGGCGGCGUGCCUAAUACAUGCAAGUCGAGCGAACAGAUAAGGAGCUUGCUCCUUUGAAGUUAGCGGCGGACGGGUGAGUAACACGUGGGUAACCUACCUAUAAGACUGGGAUAACUUCGGGAAACCGGAGCUAAUACCGGAUAACAUUUAGAACCGCAUGGUUCUAAAGUGAAAGAUGGUUUUGCUAUCACUUAUAGAUGGACCCGCGCCGUAUUAGCUAGUUGGUAAGGUAACGGCUUACCAAGGCGACGAUACGUAGCCGACCUGAGAGGGGGAGCGGCCACACUGGAACUGAGACACGGUCCAGACUCCUACGGGAGGCAGCAGUGGGGAAUAUGCGACAAUGGGCGAAAGCCUGACGGAGCAAGGCCGCGUGGGUGAAGAAGGCUUUCGGUUCGUAAAACCCUUUUAUGGGGAAAAAAAAACUGUAUAAGAAAACGUCCCCGUUUUGACGGUACCUAAAAAAAAAGCACCGGCUAACUGCGUG
This 497-nucleotide ribosomal RNA is filed under the name uncultured bacterium. RNAcentral's name for it is "partial 16S ribosomal RNA". It matches the Rfam family "Bacterial small subunit ribosomal RNA", at positions 28 to 507 of the family's 1533-position model. The record is from RNAcentral.